RNAcentral lists this long non-coding RNA (6416 nucleotides) under Homo sapiens (human). Its description in RNAcentral is "RASSF10 divergent transcript, transcript variant 3 (RASSF10-DT)". The record is from RNAcentral. Lineage: Eukaryota; Metazoa; Chordata; Mammalia; Primates; Hominidae.
AAAUCGCUGCUCUGCCGCGCGCCUACGCAAGGAAAGAUUCAAGGGUCCCUCCACUUCAGGGAGUGGAGCCCGCGCCUCGGCACGGAUCAGCUGUGCGUCUCCUUUGGCCUACUGGCUCCUCUGCUUGUGUCUAUAGCUAGCUGGACGCAUCGUGACUUUAUCUUCUCAUCUUUCCUGGCGCCCCCAGACGCAUUUCCUGGUCCCUCGAGGCAGCGGCGUCUGGGGAGUGCACUUUGCACAGACAGGGAAACCGAGGCACUCAGCGGUCUCCAAUGGAGACGCUGUAAUCGCAUUCCACGACCAGCUAGCGCUAUAAGCGCUGCCUCUAAAGCGGAAGGCCUCCCAGUCCUUCUCGACAGGAAGCAAUAUUUGCAUAUCUAAGGAGAACAAGAUUCGGCAAUGUGCUCCGGGAGCAAGUGCAGGCAUGGAACGGUAUGGGCUGGAGGGGGACAGACCUUCAGAGGCGGCUGCCCGUUCCCUGUAGUGUCACAUAAGAUUUUUAGAAGAUAGGAGUUUUCACAGUGGCGGCAGAGCCCUCUGCUAAAUCCUCAUAUUAGAUGUCAAAGGUGGCAUGUCAUUUGACCCAAUGGCUUUUUUAGUCAUUUAUCUUCCUAACACCUAUGAGAGCCAGGUGUGGUGGCAGGCACCUGUAAUCUCAGCUACUCAGGUGGCUGAGGCCAGGGAAUCGCUUGAACCUGGAAGGUGGAGGUUGCAGCAAGCCGAGAUUGCACCACUGCACUUCAGCCUGGGUGACAGAGUGAGACUUUGUCUCAAAAAAGAAGGAGAUUCUGACACAUGCUAUAACAUGGAUGAACCUUGAGGACAUUAUGGGCUACAGUUACCAAAAUGGCAUGGUACUGGUACAUAAACAGACACACAGACCAAUGGAACAGAAUAGAGAACCCAGAAAUAAGACUGCACACCUACAACUGUCUGAUCUGUGACAAACCUGAUGAAAACAAGCAAUGGGAAAAGGUUCCCUAUUCAACAAAUGGUGCUGGGAUAACUGGAUACUCAUAUACAAAAGACUGAAACUGGACUUUUUCCUUAACCAUAUACAAAAAUUAACUCAAAGUGGAUUAAGGACUUAAAUGUAAAACCCAAAACUGUAAAAGCCUGGAAGACAACCUAGGCAAUACCAUUCAGGACAUAGACACAGACAAAGAUUUCGUGACAAAAAUGCCAAAAGCAAUUGCAACAAAAGCAAAAAUUGACAAAUGGAACCUAAUUAAACUACAGAGCUUCUGCACAGCAAAAGAAAUUAUCAACAGAGUAAACAGAUAACCUACAGAAUGGGAGAAAUUUUUUGCAAACAGUGCAUCGACAAAGAUCUAAUAUCUAGCAUCUAUAAAGAACUUAAACAAAGUUGCAAGAAAAAAAAAUCACCCCAUUAAAAACUGGGCAAAGGACAGGACAUGAACAGACACUUUUCAAAAGAAGACAUACAUUUGGCCAACAAUUAUAUGAAAAAAGCUCAACGUCACUGAUCAUUAGAGAAACUCAAAUCAAACCACAAUGAGAUACUGUCUCAUACCAGUCAGAAUGGCUAAUAUGAAAACGUCCAAAAAUGACAGAUGCUGGUGAGGUUGUGGAGAAAGGGAACACUUUACACGGUUGGUGAGAGUGUAAAUUAGUUCAGCCAUUGUGGAAGACAGUGUGGUGAUUCUUCAAAGACCUAAAGACAGAAAUACCAUUCCAUUCAGCAAUCCCAUUACUGGGUAAUAUACCCAAAGGAAUAUAAAUCAUUCUGUCAUAAAGAUGCAUGUGUGUAUGUUUACUGCAGCACUAUUCACAAUAGCAAAGACAUGGAAUUAACCUAACAUCAAUGGUAGACUGGAUGAAGAAAAUGUGGUACAUAUACAUUGUGGAGUACUAUGCAGCCAUAAAAAAGAACAAGAUCAUUUACUUUGCAGGGGCUUCAAUGGAGCUGGAGGCCAUAUCCUUAGCAGCUAAUGCAGCAACAGAAAACCAAAUAUUGCAUGUUCUCACUUAUAAGUGAGAGUCAAAUGAUGAGAACACAUAUAGGGAAACAACACACACUGAGGCCUAUUUGAGGGUAGAGGGUGGAAGGAGGGAGAGGAUCAGGAAAAAUAACUAAUGGGUACUGGGCUUAAAUACCUGGGUGAUGAAAUAAUCUGUACAACAAACCCCCAUGACACGAGUUUACCUAUGUAACAAACCUGCACAUGUACCCUUGAACUUAAAAUAAAAAUUUAAAAAAAGAAAAUAGGUUGCUUGACUCUGCACCUUUCCUUCUCUGCUUCUCACUUCCCAACUGUUCUAAUUUCAUAUGGGAAUCCAUGCAGUUAUGGAGAAUCCACCUUCAGCAAUGGGAAUGAACCUAGCACCACAUGACCUGGGCUGGAUCAAUCAUCACAUACUAUCCCCUGACCCAGUGAUUGGUUCAGGGAUGGACAUGUGACCUAAGAGAGUGUGGUUAGAGUAAACCUCAGGACUUCUGCUGAUAACAUUGGCAAAAAGAUUUUUUUUUUAAAUGAAUGAGGGCAUGUAGCCUCACAGAACAGCUGGAAGCCAUUUUGCAACCACAGAGAUCUGCCAAAGUCUCCCUAAGAUGAAGAAACACUGAGAUAGCAGAGCCAGGAAAUGGUGAAGGGAAUGUUGGUCCCUGGUCAAGUUGUUUGAGCUAGCCCUGAAGUUUUUCAAAUCUCUGUGGGCUUUUCAAUUGCAUGAGCUAGUAAUUUCCCUUUAUUACUUAAGCCAAUGUGAACCAGCUUUUCUGUUACUUAGAACCAAAAACAUUCUGCUACAUCAUUGAUACACGUCAAACACCCCCUUCCUUUUACAGAAGAAAAGACUAAAUCUCAUGGAUGCUACGUGGCUAGUUAGGAGGAAUUGCCUUCCCAGUUCCAGGCCUUUCUCCUUUUACUACUCUAGCCACUUGUGAUGGGUUUGGUAACAAUGAGUAAAAUGUGCAUUCUCCUUAUUUCUAACCACGGAUUGGAUAUGUUCAGAAAUAUUAAAACUGAUUUUCCUCAAGUGUAUCUUCUGGCAAUUAAUGUCAUUGCUUUAUAGCCACUCUGUACUACGGGCCCUUGUGAUUCAUUAGAAAAAACAAAGGAUCAAAUAGUUAGAGAAGGUAUAAGGACCUUGUUUAAAAUUUUAUUUAAUUUGCAGCUAAUUUACCAGCAACUUAGGCUCAACCACGUAUGCUGCUUUGCUAGUUUCUUCAAAACUUGUCAUGCACUUUCAUUUCUUGGUAAUCAUCCCUCAUUACCAUUUCUUAUCUUUCAAAAACACAGCCUCACCACACUGUAUUCUUACCUUUGGUGCCUCCCUCUACAGCUAGAAUUUCCAGAUUCUGUGGGCUCUUCCUCUGUAAACUCUAAAAAUCCUUCCAUUUUUAUCUAUACAUACUAUUUCCCCCACUCUAACAGAUCUUACCUAUCACCAACCCUAAAAUUACCUAACAAAAUGCUCAUCACAUCUUCAAGGAAAUGUCCCACAGUGAGAGAAAAGAGAAAGGAACCUGUGUUUAUUGUGCUAGGAAGAUACUAGAUACUUUACAGACAUUAACUCAUUUAAUUUUCAUGACCACACCAUGGUAAGUAGGUAGUAGUAUCUCAGUCUAAAAAUAAGGAAACUGAGGUUGGGUGAGUCAUAGGGUUGAAUUCCAAACCUAGGUGUGUGCAGUUCUAAAGAUACUUUCUUCCACUGCUUCUGUUGGACAAUAGAUUUUGCCCCUUUUGUACCAGCUCCAAAGGAUAGUGACCGCCUGGAUCUCGUGUUGAGAAGACUGAAGCCUCAUCCAGGUUGACAGGGAAAGACAAAAGGAUGUCUUGCCAAAGCUUGCCAAGGGGGAAAGUGGCAAUCCACACACCACUUAUUUCACAUUUCUUCAGGCCUGUGCCUGGGGCAGUUCUAGAGGUUUCCCAGGAGAAGGACAGGUGCACCAGGGAGUCUGGCUAUAAAGUUUGUACACUAGAAUCUGUUGGCAGAUUCUGUUGCUUAAAGUUGAGUUUGCAUUCAUACUUUAUAUCUGAAGAAAUGGGAAGUUAGGGAGUUAACCACUGUCUAUUGGGAAGUGAUUCAUGAAUCAGAACAGGUGAGAAUGUCAGGCUCUGAAAUGAACAGCACACUUCUGUAUGGAAUGUACUGGGGCAGCAUACCUGCCUUCUUUCUCAGAUCAAUGUUGACACACUUAAAUUUGUGAAUAAGGCCUUCCAGGAUAUCUUGUUUAGGAAGAACCAGUUCACUUGCUAGUAUCUAGGCUUUCUAGGUAUCACGAGGGCUUUCUGUCAAAGCAUAAACAAGCAGUGAGAAAUCAUCAGUGUUCUCUCUCUGAAGAGAGAGACACCAGGAAAGGAGAGAGGGUAGCAAGUUAGCAGGCAUGGAAAGCUGCUGCUUUGCAGAUGUGUUCAUCAGGCAUAAUCCUUAGCUGGAUGUUAGACAGUACCAGAAGUUGCAUGGUGACUUGUCUGAUGGUUGCAAAGAUAUUGGUCCUCAUGUGGGAUUAUUCAAGAUAUUCAGAAGGGAAGAAGCUGAAUCUGGUUACAAAAGGUGUUCCUUAAAUACGUAAUGAAUGAAUGAAUAAACAGUUCAAUGGAAAUUGGGGCAAAUUAAGGAUUCAGUAGAUGUGAGGUGUAUUUGUCUCAUGUCCUCAUCUGAUGAACAUCUACCAUAUUCAGUUGUCUAGUGAGGACUCUUUUAGUGUAGAAACCAAGGAGGCACAUUUGGGGUUCAUUUAGAGAUGGGGUAUUUGGGGCUGGGGGGAAGCCAGCAUAUGAAUGAUGGGCUUCACCAGGAGACAAAGGGCAUCUGUCUAAGGGAUGGAUGCUGAGGGUGGACCUGGCAGGCUGAGCAGGUGAAACUCUUCCAUUGGAGCAGACUGUGGGUUUAUUUGAGCUUAAGAAAAGGAGGUCAUUCCCAAGAAUGAAUAGCAGUGGAUUUGUAGACUUUGAAAUUAACAGAUCAAAGACACCAGAUCUCUGUAGAGAACUUAAUAUGAUCUCUAGAUUCUGAAGCUCCAAUUCUCAGCCCUGGCUGCACCCUAGAAUCACCUGGGAGCUUUUCAACCCUACCACUGCCAGGGUUUCUCCCCCAGAGCUUUGGAUUCAGGCAGUUCAGAGUGAGGCCCUGGAAUCAGUAUUUUCAAAAAGACCUCCAAGUGGCUCUGAGAAUAUCACUGCAGUUGAGACUGUCCACUCUAGACAUAACUCAAAGCAGGCAAAUUUUCAGGAUUCCAUGGCUAGACUAUGACAUUUCCAACAACCUCAAGAGAGACAUUUUAGGAUUAUUCAUUCAUACUGUGUGCAUCCUUGGUUUCUCACUAGCCCCUGUUCUUAAGGCCUGGCAGAUUCCCAGGUGACUUCUAUCCAUGAGAGUGUCCCAAGAAGGGCCACUGGGAAACACACUUAUAGAGAGUUUGGAUUAUGAUCCCAAAAGACACAUUCCUGAAUGCCAUCAUCCCCGAGGUUGAAAUCCUGAAAGAUCAAAAUUUCUAAAGACUAAAUCCUUAACAUCUAAAAUCCUGAAAAUCACAAUCAUAGGAUAGUUGCAUCAUGUUAGGUGAAACUGUUACCUUGUUGUGGUCUUUAUUUGGAAAUUAAGUAUGGUUUAAGGAGAUGCAUAUAGUGCCAAGUUGACAGGGAUGGAUUUAUUGACUUAAUUUGAGAUGUCAACUUGACUGAUUAAGGAAUGCCUGAAACCCUGGUAAAGCAUUAUUUUGGGUGUGUGUGAGGGUGUUUCCAGAGGACUGAGUAGACUCGGUGAGGAAGAUCUGCCCUUGAUAUUGGUGGACACCAUUCAAUUGGCCAACAAUCUGGAGAUAACAAAUAUAGAAGGCCAACUGGUCUCUCUCUGAGAGCUGGGACAGACUUUUCUUCUGCUGCCUUGGACAUCAGAACUCCAGGCUCACCAGCCUUUGCACUCCAGUACUUAACAGCAGCGGCCAUCUGGGUCCUGAGGCUUUUGGCCUCAGAGAGUAACACCAUUGUCUGCUGUGGUUCUCAAUAUAAAAACAUUGAAACUUCCUCAAUAAAUGAACAGAUUUCCUUUUUGUGUAUCUGCAUUUGUGAAAGACCAAAAUUUCUUGAGAUCUUGCCUUUUUGGGCCACUGCAUAUGCAGUGGUGACCUAUAGAGGUUUUUGAUUGAUCUUGUCAAAAGACAGGUUGUCCAUCACAGUAUUUCGGAUGACUGGAGUUAUAAAGCUAGGUACACACAACUACCAACCAUCAUGAUACAUGUUUAUACACUUUGUUUUUGGCAUAUUGCCUUAUGAAUACAGUUCAUCUGCUUGUAAUUGUUGUAAUCAUGUGACUGUUGUUAGAAUAGCUGAGUGCUUAUGUUUGCAAAGAUAUAUAUGUUAUUAUUGCCAAUUUUAUUGUGUAAAUUGGCCUCUGAAGUGCUCUGUCAGUUUUUAUAUGGUUCUCAAAUAAAUCUCCCUUAAAAAUGUAAA